This 66-nucleotide transfer RNA is filed under the name Anopheles nimbus. RNAcentral describes it as "tRNA-Pro". Lineage: Eukaryota; Metazoa; Arthropoda; Insecta; Diptera; Culicidae. The record is from RNAcentral.
CAAGAAAUAGUUUAAUUAAAAUAUUAACUUUGGGAGUUAACGAUAAAGAGGUUUCUUUUUUCUUGA